Molecule: ribosomal RNA, 496 nt
Filed under: uncultured bacterium
Lineage: Bacteria
Description: partial 16S ribosomal RNA
Rfam family: Bacterial small subunit ribosomal RNA
Source: RNAcentral
GAUGAACGCUGGCGGCGAGCCUAAUACAUGCAAGUCGAGCGAACAGACGAGGAGCUUGCUCCUCUGACGUUAGCGGCGGACGGGUGAGUAACACGUGGAUAACCUACCUAUAAGACUGGGAUAACUUCGGGAAACCGGAGCUAAUACCGGAUAAUAUAUUGAACCGCAUGGUUCAAUAGUGAAAGACGGUUUUGCUGUCACUUAUAGAUGGAUCCGCGCCGCAUUAGCUAGUUGGUAAGGUAACGGCUUACCAAGGCGACGAUGCGUAGCCGACCUGAGAGGGUGAUGGCCACACUGGAACUGAGACACGGUCCAGACUCCUACGGGAGGCAGCAGUAGGGAAUCUUCCGCAAUGGGCGAAAGCCUGACGGAGCAACGCCGCGUGAGUGAUGAAGGUCUUCGGAUCGUAAAACUCUGUUAUUAGGGAAGAACAAAUGUGUAAGUAACUAUGCACGUCUUGACGGUACCUAAUCAGAAAGCCACGGCUAACUACGUG